This 484-nucleotide ribosomal RNA is filed under the name uncultured bacterium. RNAcentral describes it as "partial 16S ribosomal RNA". It matches the Rfam family "Bacterial small subunit ribosomal RNA", at positions 30 to 507 of the family's 1533-position model. The record is from RNAcentral.
AUUGAACGCUGGCGGCAGGCCUAACACAUGCAAGUCGAGCGGAUGAAGGGAGCUUGCUCCUGGAUUCAGCGGCGGACGGGUGAGUAAUGCCUAGGAAUCUGCCUGGUAGUGGGGGAUAACGUCCGGAAACGGGCGCUAAUACCGCAUACGUCCUGAGGGAGAAAGUGGGGGAUCUUCGGACCUCACGCUAUCAGAUGAGCCUAGGUCGGAUUAGCUAGUUGGUGGGGUAAAGGCCUACCAAGGCGACGAUCCGUAACUGGUCUGAGAGGAUGAUCAGUCACACGGGAACUGAGCCACGGUCCAGACUCCUACGGGAGGCAGCAGUGGGGAAUAUUGGACAAUGGGCGAAAGCCUGAUCCAGCCAUGCCGCGUGUGUGAAGAAGGUCUUCGGAUUGUAAAGCACUUUAAGUUGGGAGGAAGGGCAGUAAGUUAAUACCUUGCUGUUUUGACGUUACCAACAGAAUAAGCACCGGCUAACUUCGUG